RNAcentral lists this long non-coding RNA (916 nucleotides) under Macaca fascicularis (crab-eating macaque). RNAcentral describes it as "lncRNA (ENSMFAG00000049284.1)". Lineage: Eukaryota; Metazoa; Chordata; Mammalia; Primates; Cercopithecidae. The record is from RNAcentral.
AUGGUGAGCACAUUAGGGCAAUGGGGAGUUACUGAAGCAUUAGCAAGAGGGUGGCGAAAAUGCCCUCCUUUCUCUUUGUCUUACCACGUUCCUGAGGACCUCAGUUCAGUAAGCGCAAACGGGCGGGCGUGGCUGCGGAGAUGGAGACCAUCCACUUCCUGGUUUUCCGCUCAGCCUGCGGGAAAGCAACGAAUCUCCUGAGUUUCAGAGUGCUGAGACAGAGGACGAUGGGCUGGGCUUCAGUUCCCUCACCUGGAGAGUGACGAGAACACCAGUACAGAACUCCAGGGCUGUUGGGAAGAUGGAAUGAAAUAGUACAUGAAUGAAAUAGUACAUGUAAUGGGUCGCAUUCACAGUGCCUGGAACAUAACAAAUGCUCGUAAAGGUAGGUGUUAUCAUUAAGGAAAGCCAUGAAGGAGAAAGUCCCUAAAGCCCCCAGGGUUCCUUUCUGGGCCUUCACUGGUGACUCCCAAAAGGUUUGUUUUAAUGCCCCCGAUACAGUGUGGAUAUUUCUCCCCUCCAAAUCUCAUGUUGAAGUGUGAUCCCAGUGUUGGAGGCGGGGCCUGGUGGGAAGUGUUAGGUCAUGGGAGUGGGUCCCUCAUGAAUGGCUUGGUGCCCUCCUUGUGGUAAUGAGUGAGUUUUUGCUCUAUUAGUUAGAGUGAGAUCUGGUUGUAUAAAAGAGCCUGGCACCUCUUCCUCCCUCUCUUGCUCCCUCUCCUGCCAUGUGACCUGCCUGCUCCCCCUUUGCCUUCUGCCAUGAGUAAAAGCUUCCUGAGGCCUCAACAGAAGCUGAGCAGAUACCAGUGCCAUGCUUAUCCAGCCUGCAGAACCAUGAGCCAAAUAAACCUCUUUCUUUAUAAACUACCCAGUCUCAGGCAUUCCUAUAUAGCAAUGCAAAAUGGACUAAUACCACUCC